Archocentrus centrarchus (flier cichlid) is the source of this 647-nucleotide long non-coding RNA. RefSeq lists it as uncharacterized. The record is from RefSeq and is a predicted model, not a curated record. NCBI's taxonomy places the organism in Eukaryota, Metazoa, Chordata, Actinopteri, Cichliformes, Cichlidae. The transcript has 3 exons.
GAUUCCACUUUGAUUAUUGUAGCUGCAGUAGUGGUGCUGAUGCUGUCAUCGCUGUCCUGCUGAAAGAAAGAAAGAAACAAGAAGAGGGACCCUGAGAAGAACAAAACACCACAAAAAUCAACCAGUGACAUUAAUGGAUCCAAACACCUUUAAUGAAGAAGCAGAGCGACGGGAUCAGGAGGACAAACACUGAAUAACAACAGACCAACAAAUGAUCAAAACCGUCACCUUCACCAGCACGAAGAUCCAAGCUGUGACUCAUAAACACAGCUCAGAGUAACACACUGUAACUGAUUCAUGUGAACAUUCAGGAAGAGGAACAAAUGACACUGAGCCAUGAGCUCAGAGAAGCUCCACUGACCAAAAACUGUUUCUACUUUGUGUUCAUGAUGACACAGUUAUGAUAAAUGAGCAAACCGUUAGCUUACAAUAUGAAACACCUUAAGGUGACUGCUUUUGAUUGUCUGUUUUAAUUUAAUUUAUUUAAUUUUACUUUAUUUAUUGCCUUUUAAUGUUGUGUUUUAUGCUCAAUUUUUCUGGAUUUUAAUGUAGUUUUCUUUUGGAGCUGUAUUUUUACUGUACAGUACUCAACUCCGUAGUUUUAAAUGUGUUGUGUGAAUAAAUUUGUUCUUGAAUGUUGUAGUGAU